RNAcentral lists this ribosomal RNA (253 nucleotides) under uncultured bacterium. RNAcentral describes it as "partial 16S ribosomal RNA". It matches the Rfam family "Bacterial small subunit ribosomal RNA", at positions 524 to 776 of the family's 1533-position model. The record is from RNAcentral.
UACGGGGGGGGCAAGCGUUGCUCGGAAUCACUGGGCGUAAAGGGUGCGUAGGCGGGUCUUUAAGUCAGGGGGGAAAUCCUGGAGCUCAACUCCAGAACUGCCUUUGAUACUGAAGAUCUUGAGUUCGGGAGAGGUGAGUGGAACUGCGAGUGUAGAGGUGAAAUUCGUAGAUAUUCGCAAGAACACCAGUGGCGAAGGCGGCUCACUGGCCCGAUACUGACGCUGAGGCACGAAAGCGUGGGGAGCAAACAGG